CAGUCAAAUUUGAUUUCAGACAUACAGCACACAUUAUUUUAGUAUAAAUAUGUUCAAUGCAAUAUCUGGGACAUACUUAUACUAAAAACACAGUUGUUUAUUUAGAAUUAAUAUUUAAAU
RNAcentral lists this microRNA precursor (120 nucleotides) under Pteropus vampyrus (large flying fox). Its description in RNAcentral is "miRNA (ENSPVAG00000030063.1)". The stretch from base 36 to 87 matches the Rfam family "mir-1302 microRNA precursor family". The record is from RNAcentral. Lineage: Eukaryota; Metazoa; Chordata; Mammalia; Chiroptera; Pteropodidae.